This is a long non-coding RNA of Gasterosteus aculeatus aculeatus (three-spined stickleback), 1402 nucleotides long. The record is from Ensembl. NCBI's taxonomy places the organism in Eukaryota, Metazoa, Chordata, Actinopteri, Perciformes, Gasterosteidae.
CCUGUCCUCCCUCUGUUGUCCCUCGUCCUCUGCUGCUGGGUGCUGAUGUCCCACUCAACGGUUCCUACCUGCUGGAUCUGGGGCCUUUGGGGGACGGGGUAUCGGGCCUUGUCUGUCUCCUGUCUCUGUCCUUUGUUUACUGCUGCAGACUAAUGAUGUAAAGUCAAACUAAUGAAACCUGCAAAACACCAAACAACAAAGUGAACUCAGCAAUGGAAAGUAAAGCAGUGGACCUGAAAGGGAACCAGUCCAUCAAACCACUGAGUCACAUAACAACUACAACACGGAUCAGAACGCCGUCAGUACAAAUCAAACUAAACCGCAGAUCAUCUCAAACUAGUUACGGCUUUCAGCAAAUUAAAAAUCAAUCCAACUCAAUGUUAGAAUCACAAAGCUGAGAUGAAACUUUUAGGGUGUAAACGCUGCCGCAGGAGAGAGAAGAGGAAACUAAAAUAAACGUCUAAUGAAAAUCCAUAAAAGCAAAAUGAAGUUCAAGUUAAGAAAGUAAAAGUCUAAAGUCACAACGAUAAUCAAUAAUCAAUCUUAUGUUUAAACGUUGAAUACCAUUCAAACUUUAACUAGUAGUGACGAUGGACCUUAACUCAAAGCCUAAAGCAAUAAUAACCCACUUAUCUGACAUUUAAAUACAAUCUAGUUCCACCACUGGAGAUCAAAUCUAUUCAACCUUUUCAGAAGGUCACAUUAAAAUCAGAGCGGCUCUUUAAAUUGGAAUCGAGAUCAAAUCCAAAUGAAGACAAAGCUGAUAUCAAACUGUAUCAAUGCUGAAAUGAUCACAAGUGAUAUUAAAGUUGUAUUUCUUACCUUUACUUGAAUGUCCAUCAGUGUUGGAGGGUGAACAUCAAUGAACAGUCCUUGUGUCCCUUUGACUCUAAUGAAGACAUUGUCUCUACAUCAUGUGAUUACUCCUGUAAACCAUAUGAGGCGUGUUGACACAACAGCUGAUGACGUGACAAUCGUUAGUAACUCUGCACCUCGACACGCUGAGAACACAAAGUACUAUAUUAUAAUAGUACUAUUAUGAUCAGCAGCCUGUGACCUGACUGACCCUGUUCACUGAAUACUACAGUACAUUCAAUGAUCACACCUUUGGCUUGAAUCCACACGCCGACCCGUUUGCAGAUGCUUGAGUGUAUUUACAUGAGGACGUUCUGUAAUAUCACAGUAAAAGUGCAGAACGGGACGGAAGUGAAUGAGUGAAAAACCAAACAGUGAAUCCAAUAAACUAACGAGUGCGUUUCUUCUCUUUGUUUGUGUUGUUUGUUCAUUGUGAAACAUUGUAAAUACUGAAUGGUCUUUAUUUCUAUAUUUAGUGAAUAUUUGCUUAUUAAACGGUUUAAUGUUAAUGUUCCUUUGCACACGUCCCAUGAAGCUUCAUCUGCAG